GGGGGCAAGGGAACAGGCACCAUGCCGUGGCUGCUGAGGAUGUAGCCUUCCUGGGCCGGCCAGCGCAAAGGCAGAGGCUCACCGUACUCCGCGGGGGCGCUGGGUGCUGACACCACCCUGCGGCGUUCAGCGGGCGUGCAGGUGGCAGCGGGACGUGGGCACACGGACCAAACAGGACGGGAAGGCCAACAGCAGUGUGUGGCUGGUACGGUCCAAUGUUAGAGACAGGAGCUGGCGACCCUGAGGAGAGUCCUCACCACAUCUGAAGAGACAAAGUGGAGAGUAAGGAGGCUUCCCAGGCUGUGUAAAAGGGCCACAUCUGUAAUGCAGUGAAACAGGAAGGAGGUGGCAGCCCCCUCUUUUUAAAUAGAAGCGAUCCACGUGAUGUAUAAUGGAGCAGGAUGCCAAUAGAUGUCAUCAGUCUGAGCUCAAGGACAAAAGUCUCUUUACUCCUUACUCACUUCUCUGGGUUGAAACCCUCCACCUCCUCCAGGAAGACACUGCUGUGGGACACUGAAUCCCCACUGGGAAUCAUUAGGAACUUGAGAACGGUCCCUCGGGUCGAACCGAGGAACAAAACUGUACGGUUUCGAUGGGGGCCAGCUUCCGUG
Molecule: non-coding RNA, 611 nt
Organism: Doryrhamphus excisus (bluestripe pipefish)
Lineage: Eukaryota; Metazoa; Chordata; Actinopteri; Syngnathiformes; Syngnathidae
Source: RefSeq, a predicted model, not a curated record